AACCCGGACCAGGCCAGCGGCGAUUGAGAGACAAGCGGAACCUUCUGGAAAGUUGGGCCAUAGCGGGUGACAGCCCCGUACGCGUAAUGCGAUCAAUCGUCCUUGAGUAAGGCGGGACACGUGAAAUCCUGUCUGAAAUUGGGAGGACCACCUUCCAAGCCUAAGUACUCGUGCAUGACCGAUAGCGAACUAGUACCGUGAGGGAAAGGUGAAAAGCACCCCGACAAGGGGAGUGAAAGAGUACCUGAAACCGAUUGCCUACAAACAGUGGGAGCCCGUCCUUCAAAUCGCUUGACGAUUUGAAGAACUUUUGAUUUUGCCAUCAAGAGCGCAAGCGCUUUGAUGGGCGGGUGACCACGUACCUUUUGUAUAAUGGGUCAGCGACUUAGUGUGACGAGCAAGCUUAAACCGAUAGGUGUAGGCGCAGCGAAAGCGAGUCUGAACAGGGCGUUCAGUUCGUCGCAUUAGACCCGAAACCGAGUGAUCUAGCCAUGAGCAGGCUGAAGGUAAGGUAACACUUACUGGAGGGCCGAACCCAUAACUGUUGCAAUAGUUCGGGAUGACUUGUGGCUAGGGGUGAAAGGCCAAUCAAACUCGGAAAUAGCUGGUUCUCCGCGAAAUCUAUUUAGGUAGAGCGUCGACCGAAUACCCCAGGGGGUAGAGCACUGGAUGGGCUAGGGGUCCUCACCGGAUUACCAAACCUAACCAAACUCCGAAUACCUGGGAGUACUAGUCGGCAGACACACGGCGGGUGCUAACGUCCGUCGUGAAAAGGGAAACAACCCUGACCUACAGCUAAGGUCCCCAAGUUAUGGCUAAGUGGGAAAGGAUGUGAGGAUCCCAAAACAACCAGGAUGUUGGCUUAGAAGCAGCCAUCAUUUAAAGAAAGCGUAACAGCUCACUGGUCUAAAUAAGGGUCUUUGCGCCGAAAAUGUAACGGGGCUAAAGCCAUACACCGAAGCUUAGGGUUCGUGAGCAAUCACGAGCGGUAGCGGAGCGUUCUGUAAGCCAGUGAAGCCGUACCCGUGAGGGGCGGUGGAGGUAUCAGAAGUGCGAAUGCUGACAUGAGUAACGUAAGGGGAGUGAGAGACUCCCCCGCCGAAAGACCAAGGGUUCCUGCUUAAAGUUAAUCUGAGCAGGGUUAGCCGGCCCCUAAGACGAGGCGGAAACGCGUAGUCGAUGGGAAUCACGUUAAUAUUCGUGAGCCUGGAGGUAGUGACGGAUCACACAAGUUGUCCAAUCUUAUCGGAUUGAAAGGGCAGCGGAGUGGUUCCAGGAAAUAGCUCCUCCUUAUAGACCGUACCCGAAACCGACACUGGUGGUCUGGUAGAGUAUACCAAGGCGCUUGAGAGAACUAUGCUGAAGGAACUCGGCAAAUUGCACGCGUAACUUCGGAAGAAGCGUGACCCUUUUUUGCGCAAGCAGAGGAGGGUGGCACAGACCAGGGGGUAGCGACUGUUUAUCAAAAACACAGGGCUCUGCGAAGUCGCAAGACGACGUAUAGGGUCUGACGCCUGCCCGGUGCUGGAAGGUUAAGAGGAGGGGUGCAAGCUCUGAAUCGAAGCCCCAGUAAACGGCGGCCGUAACUAUAACGGUCCUAAGGUAGCGAAAUUCCUUGUCGGGU
RNAcentral lists this ribosomal RNA (1624 nucleotides) under Mesorhizobium sp. RNAcentral describes it as "partial 23S ribosomal RNA". It matches the Rfam family "Bacterial large subunit ribosomal RNA", at positions 285 to 1977 of the family's 2925-position model. Lineage: Bacteria; Pseudomonadati; Pseudomonadota; Alphaproteobacteria; Hyphomicrobiales; Phyllobacteriaceae. The record is from RNAcentral.